Molecule: ribosomal RNA, 477 nt
Filed under: uncultured bacterium
Lineage: Bacteria
Description: partial 16S ribosomal RNA
Rfam family: Bacterial small subunit ribosomal RNA
Source: RNAcentral
GAUGAACGCUGGCGGCGUGCCUAACACAUGCAAGUCGAACGAAGCACCUCAUCUGUUUCUGCGGACGCAAGUGUGGAGCCUGAGUGGCGGACGGGUGAGUAACGCGCUGCUAACCUGCACUGUACUGGGGGACAACAGCUGGAAACGGCUGCUAAUACGGCAUAAGCGCACUUGUAGAAAUCUCCUUGUGUGAGAAACUCCGGUGGUACAGGUUGGGUUCUCGUCUGGUUAGUUGGUUGGCAGGGUGACGGCCUACCAAGGAAACGAGCAGUAGCCGGGCUGGGAGAAGGAAAGACCACGAUGGAGCUAAGGCACAGUCCAAAAUCCGACGGGAGGGUGGAGAGGGGAAUAUUGCACAAUGGAGGAAGCCGUGAUGCAGCAGCGCCGGGUAAGUGAAGAAGUAGUUCGGUAAGUAAAGCUCUAACAGCAGGGGAGAUAGUGACGGUACCUGAAGAAGAAGCUCCGGCUAACUACGUG